AAAACGACUCUCGACAACGGAUAUCUCGGCUCUCGCAUCGAUGAAGACCGUAGCAAAAUGCGAUACUUGGUGUGAAUUGCAGAAUCCCGUGAACAAUCGAGUUUUUGAACGCAGGUUGCGCCUAAGCCAUUAGGCUGAAGGCACGUCUGCCUGGCCGUCUCGC
This 163-nucleotide ribosomal RNA is filed under the name Impatiens devolii. RNAcentral describes it as "5.8S ribosomal RNA". It matches the Rfam family "5.8S ribosomal RNA". Rfam says of the family: 5.8S ribosomal RNA (5.8S rRNA) is a component of the large subunit of the eukaryotic ribosome. It is transcribed by RNA polymerase I as part of the 45S precursor that also contains 18S and 28S rRNA. Functionally, it is thought that 5.8S rRNA may be involved in ribosome translocation. The record is from RNAcentral. Lineage: Eukaryota; Viridiplantae; Streptophyta; Magnoliopsida; Ericales; Balsaminaceae.